AAUGAACGCUGGCGGCGCGCCUAACACAUGCAAGUUGAACGAGAAUGUUCUUCGGAACUAGUACAGUAGCAAACGGGUGAGAAACGCGUAAGAAUCUGCCCAUCAGUGGGGAAUACCUUCGGGAAACUGAAAUUAAUACCGCAUAGACUCGUAAGAGUAAAGACGGCCUCUUGCUGUCGCUGAUGGAUGAGCUUGCGUCCUAUUAGUUAGUUGGUUAGGUAAUGGCUGACCAAGACGAUGAUGGGUAGCCGGCCUGAGAGGGUGAUCGGCCACACUGGGACUGAGACACGGCCCAGACUCCUACGGGAGGCAGCAGUGGGGAAUUUUGGACAAUGGGCGAAAGCCUGAUCCAGCAAUGCCGCGUGCAGGAAGAAGGCCUUCGGGUUGUAAACUGCUUUUGUACGGAGCGAAAAGGUCUCCUCUAAUACAGGGGGCUCAUGACGGUACCGUAAGAAUAAGCACCGGCUAACUACGUGCCAGCCGCCGCGGUAA
Molecule: ribosomal RNA, 492 nt
Filed under: uncultured bacterium
Lineage: Bacteria
Description: partial 16S ribosomal RNA
Rfam family: Bacterial small subunit ribosomal RNA
Source: RNAcentral